Malassezia furfur is the source of this 85-nucleotide non-coding RNA. NCBI's taxonomy places the organism in Eukaryota, Fungi, Basidiomycota, Malasseziomycetes, Malasseziales, Malasseziaceae. The record is from the annotation of a GenBank genome assembly.
UUCUGCGUAGUUUAGUGGCUAUGACGGGUCCUUGUCAUUUCGACACGGCUCGGACCAGACCCGGGUUCAAUUCCCGGCGCGGAAG